UUUGGCCUCGGAUCAGGCGGGGAUACCCGCUGAACUUAAGCAUAUCAAUAAGCGGAGGAAAAGAAACCAACAGGGAUUGCCCCAGUAACGGCGAGUGAAGCGGCAUCAGCUCAAA
RNAcentral lists this ribosomal RNA (115 nucleotides) under Troposporella fumosa. Its description in RNAcentral is "Helicoma fumosum partial 28S ribosomal RNA". It matches the Rfam family "Eukaryotic large subunit ribosomal RNA", at positions 1 to 113 of the family's 3401-position model. Lineage: Eukaryota; Fungi; Ascomycota; Dothideomycetes; Venturiales; Sympoventuriaceae. The record is from RNAcentral.